UGCAAACAUGGUGACUUACUAUCAAUGCAAACUUCAUGGUCGGAGCAUAACCCAGCUCGAAGAUUUUGGUCUUGUCCACGCUAUCGUGAUGAUGCGUGCAACUUCUUUAGAUGGAGGGAUCGAGAAGAAGUUGAUAUACGAUCCAAGUACGUUAUUCCGAGAUUAGCAAAGAGAAUUAAGGAGUUGGAAGAAAUAUUGACAUCUUAUGAAAGUCGUGUUGAAAGUAACCAAGUCAUGAUGAAGGA
This is a long non-coding RNA of Solanum pennellii, 245 nucleotides long. RefSeq lists it as uncharacterized. The record is from RefSeq and is a predicted model, not a curated record. The transcript is spliced from 2 exons. NCBI's taxonomy places the organism in Eukaryota, Viridiplantae, Streptophyta, Magnoliopsida, Solanales, Solanaceae.